UUAGCCCGUCUAGCACGUCUAGCUCCGUCAGCACGUCUAGCUCGUCUAGCUCGUUAGCACGUAGGACGCACUGAUUGGUGUCACCUCGUUAGUCAGUAUGUGUUACACCUGUGCUGGCUUGUCCAUCUCGUUAGUGGGAAGGUGUUUCACCUGAGCUGGUCCAGGUUCUAUUUAAGAGUGUCUGGCCCAGUGCUCCAGUUGUCUUGAUACAUGUGGAGAGUCAACACCUUUAGUUGCUCCACCUUUUUGGUUUACUUCCUGUCUUUAAGUUUGGUGUGGGUUUUUCUUUUGUUUUCCUCUUCUUGGGCAGAUUUAGGUGGUCUCAUGGUGGGUGUCUUUUAGGUCCCAGUUGUUGUUACUAGUCAACUUCCAGUGGACACCCCCAUAGUGUCUUUCAGAGCCCCUCCUAAAAAACAAGUUAUAUUUUGGGUUGGAUAUUGCAUCAUAUUGUUGAUAUUUUAAUCAAUGGCAUUUCCUUACAAUGCUCAUUAGUCUUUCAGUUGUUAUUAUUGUUUUUUAUCCUCAUAUUUGUGUACUAAAUAUUUCUGAUUAUUUUCAUAGUUUUUUCCUGUGAAGCCAUUGUGUUGCAUCCAUGUCUGAAAUGUGCUGUAUAAAUAAAGCUUGAUUUGAUUUGAACAUAUUGCGAAACAAAUGAACCCAAUGACCGACCAAUCAACAGACUCUUGGUCCCUCUUAGUAUCCCCCUUGUCCCUUUCCCAAUGUCAUGAACUAGACCAGGUACUGUUACAGCUGGUCUCUCCUCCUCAAUGCCAUGAACUAGACCAGGUACUGUGUUACAGCUGCUCUCUCAAUGCCAUGAACUAGACCAGGUACUGUGUUACAGCUGCUCUCUCCUCCUCAAUGUCAUGAACUAGACCAGGUACUGUGUUACAGCUGCUCUCUCAAUGUCAUGAACUAGACCAGGUACUGUGUUACAACUGCUCUCUCCUCCUCAAUGACAUGAACUAGACCAGGUACUGUGUUACAGCUGCUCUCUCAAUGCCAUGAACUAGACCAGGUACUGUGUUACAGCUGCUCUCUCCUCCUCAAUGUCAUGAACUAGACCAGGUACUGUGUUACAGCUGCUCUCUCAAUGCCAUGAACUAGACCAGGUACUGUGUUACAGCUGCUCUCUCCUCCUCAAUGUCAUGAACUAGACCAGG
Molecule: long non-coding RNA, 1163 nt
Filed under: Salmo salar (Atlantic salmon)
Lineage: Eukaryota; Metazoa; Chordata; Actinopteri; Salmoniformes; Salmonidae
Description: lncRNA (ENSSSAG00000088208.1)
Source: RNAcentral